AUUUUAUAGUGAAACUGCGAAUGGCUCAUUAAAUCAGUUAUAAUUUACUUGAUAAUUUUAUACCAGUGGAUAACCGUGGUAAUUCUAUGGCUAAUACAUACAUUAAAGGGCCUUACUAUGUAAGGCCUGUAGUUAUUAGAUAAAAAACCAAUGCAUGCAAAUGCUUUCUUGGUGAUUCAUAGUAAACUUACAGAUCGUUGUCUUCGACGACGUGUCAAUCAAAUUUCUGCCCUAUCAACUGUCGAUGGUAAGGUAGUGGCUUACCAUGGUUGCAACGGGUGACGGGGAAUAAGGGUUCUAUUCCGGAGAGGGAGCCUGAGAAACGGCUACCACAUCCAAGGAAGGCAGCAGGCGCGCAAAUUACCCAAUCCUAAUACAGGGAGGUAGUGACAAUAAAUAACAAUCCAGGGCCCUUAUGGGUCAUGGAAUUGGAAUGAAUACAAAUUAAAACUCUUAAUGAGGAACCAUUGGAGGGCAAGUCUGGUGCCAGCAGCCGCGGUAAUUCCAGCUCCAAUAGCGUAUAUUAAAGUUGUUGCAGUUAAAACGCCCGUAGUCGAAUUUUUGGGAGAACGAGGAUUUGAAAGGGUUUCAACCUUUGGUUGAUUAUUUUUUCUUUUUUUUGGUCUCUCAUUUUAAAUUCCUGGUCUUUGGGCUUAGUUGGUACUUUACUGUAUUGGCUAAGUCAUUUCCCUCGGGUGGGCCAGGAAUGAUUACUUUGAAAAAAUUAGAGUGUUCAAAGCGGGCUUUUUAAGCCGAAUACAUUAGCAUGGAAUAAUAAAAUAGGACUUUUGUUUUAUUUUGUUGGUUUAUAAAACUAAAGAAAUGAUGAAUAGGUCUGGUUGGGGAUAUUAGUAUUUAAUAGUCAGAGGUGAAAUUCUUGGAUUUAUGAAAGACUAACUUCUGCGAAAGCAUUUAUCAAGGACAGGCUCAUUGAUCAAGGACGAAAGUUGGGGGAUCGAAGAUGAUUAGAUACCGUCGUAGUCUCAACCAUAAACUAUGCCAACUAGGGAUUGGGGCUGAUCUUAUCAGUCUCAGCACCUUGUGAGAAAUCAAAGUUUU
Molecule: ribosomal RNA, 1059 nt
Filed under: Pandora neoaphidis
Lineage: Eukaryota; Fungi; Entomophthoromycota; Entomophthoromycetes; Entomophthorales; Entomophthoraceae
Description: SSU rRNA
Rfam family: Eukaryotic small subunit ribosomal RNA
Source: RNAcentral